CCUACGGGCGGCAGCAGUGAGGAAUAUUGGUCAAUGGGCGCUAGCCUGAACCAGCCAAGUAGCGUGAAGGAUGACUGCCCUAUGGGUUGUAAACUUCUUUUAUAUGGGAAUAAAGUGCAGUAUGUAUACUGCUUUGCAUGUACCUUAUGAAUAAGGAUCGGCUAACUCCGUGCCAGCAGCCGCGGUAAUACGGAGGUUUCGAGCGUUAUCCGGAUUUAUUGGGUUUAAAGGGAGUGUAGUCGGGUUGUUAAGUCAGUUGUGAAAGUUUGCGGCUCAACCGUAAAAUUGCAGUUGAUACUGGCAGCCUUGAGUGCAGUAGAGGUAGGCGGAAUUCGUGGUGUAGCGGUGAAAUGCUUAGAUAUCACGAAGAACUCCGAUUGCGAAGGCAGCCUGCUGGACUGUAACUGACGCUGAUGCUCGAAAGUGUGGGUAUCAAACAGGAUUAGAUACCCCUGUAGUC
Molecule: ribosomal RNA, 460 nt
Filed under: uncultured bacterium
Lineage: Bacteria
Description: partial 16S ribosomal RNA
Rfam family: Bacterial small subunit ribosomal RNA
Source: RNAcentral